RNAcentral lists this ribosomal RNA (419 nucleotides) under uncultured bacterium. Its description in RNAcentral is "partial 16S ribosomal RNA". It matches the Rfam family "Bacterial small subunit ribosomal RNA", at positions 360 to 776 of the family's 1533-position model. The record is from RNAcentral.
AAUAUUGGUCAAUGGGCGCAAGCCUGAACCAGCCACGUCGCGUGAAGGAAGACGGCCCNACGGGUNGNAAACUUCUUUUGUAAGGNCAUAAAGAGUAGUACGUGUACUAUUUUGCAUGUACCUUACGAAUAAGGAUCGGCUAACUCCGUGCCAGCAGCCGCGGGAAUACGGAGGAUCCGAGCGUUAUCCGGAUUUAUUGGGUUUAAAGGGUGCGAAGGCGGGAGAUUAAGUCAGCGGUGAAAGUUUGCAGCUUAACUGUAAAAGUGCCUUCGAAACUGGUUUCCUUGAGUGUAGAUGAAGUAGGCGGAAUUUGUGGUGUAGCGGUGAAAUGCAUAGAUAUCACGAGGAACUCCGAUUGCGCAGGCAGCUUACUAAACUACUACUGACGCUCAGGCACGAAGGCGUGGGGAUCAAACAGG